RNAcentral lists this non-coding RNA (790 nucleotides) under Pongo abelii (Sumatran orangutan). The record is from RNAcentral. Lineage: Eukaryota; Metazoa; Chordata; Mammalia; Primates; Hominidae.
UUUGUUUUUUUUUUUGUACGGAUGGGGGUUUGCUAUGUUGUCCGGGCUGGUCUUGAACUCCUGGGCUCAAGCGAUCCUCCCAAAUGCUGAGAUUCCAGGCAUGAGCCACCAGACCCAGCUGGCAAUGUAUCCUUUCUUCUUUGCUCCUAAGUUAUUUAAUUUUUUUAUGCUGUUACUUCCUCUUGGUCCAUUUGAAAAUUACCUGUUGGUUUCGCUUCACACCGCCAAUAUCUUCCUCUGUUUCCCUGCGUGCCUUUGUGGUGUUGACUUUGUCUUUGUGGCCCAGCUAUCCCACCUCAUAUCACACCCACUGUUGGGGUCUGGGUGUGUCUUUCAGAAGCACUGCCCUCCUCUGGGGCCCAGCUGUUUUUGCCUGUGUGUUUAGGUCCUCCAGGGAUACCAGCAGCUCUUUCUGGCAAUGUACAUGGUGGGAGGACAGAGAAGCCAGCCCUGCUGUGUGUCUCUCAAGCGAAUUGAAGGAGAAAAACACACGGUAGGCAUUCAAUGCCUUUCCGCUGAAGACAGGAAGGAAGGGAAGGGGAUGGCCCCAGUCUCCAAGAUGCCUCGCCGAUGCCUCCUCUCUGCUGCUUGUCAACCAGGAAAACCCUCUGGCCAGGGAGCUUACUUAGCCUUGACUCUUCUGGGAGUAGCAGCAACAGGAGGACGCCGUCUCCCUGGGUGCAGCUCCCUGAUUUUGGGAGUGCUGAGCUGAAAAGCUGGAGGCGUGGCUGCCUGGGGGUGCCGGCCCGCCCCUGGCUGCUUUCAUCCACUCCUCACUUGCGGCCUGGUG